AAAAAGGCAAACCCUGAGUUUCCGUAUCUAACUUUGACGGUCCGUUUUAUAUGAAUUUUUUUUAUAAUUCGUAUUUUUAUUGUUGUUAGAUGAUAAAACAUGAUUAAUAUUUUAUACGUGACUUGUCUUUUUAAUUUUUUUUAUAAUAUUUUUAAAUAAGACGGACGGUUAAACAUUGGACACAGAGUCUUUUCGACGGAGGGAGA
MicroRNA precursor from Oryza sativa Japonica Group (Japanese rice), 206 nucleotides. It matches the Rfam family "MIR812 microRNA precursor family". Lineage: Eukaryota; Viridiplantae; Streptophyta; Magnoliopsida; Poales; Poaceae. The record is from Rfam.